GAUGAAGAACGUAGCGAAAUGCGAUAAGUAGUGUGAAUUGCAGAAUUCAGUGAAUCAUCGAAUCUUUGAACGCACAUUGCGCCCCUUGGUAUUCCAUGGGGCAUGCCUGUUCGAGCGUCAUUUGUACCUUCAAGCUCUGCUUGGUGUUGGGUGUUUGUCUCGCCUCUGCGUGUAGACUCGCCUCAAAACAAUUGGCAGCCGGCGUAUUGAUUUCGGAGCGCAGUACAUCUCGCGCUUUGCACUCAUAACGACGACGUCCAAAAGUACAUUUUUACACUCUUGACCUCGGAUCAGGUAGGGAUACCCGCUGAACUUAAGCAUAUAAUAAGCGGAGGA
This 336-nucleotide unclassified non-coding RNA is filed under the name soil metagenome. RNAcentral describes it as "partial contains 5.8S ribosomal RNA, internal transcribed spacer 2, and large subunit ribosomal RNA". The stretch from base 1 to 120 matches the Rfam family "5.8S ribosomal RNA", at positions 35 to 154 of the family's 154-position model. The record is from RNAcentral.